Molecule: long non-coding RNA, 1644 nt
Filed under: Arabidopsis lyrata
Lineage: Eukaryota; Viridiplantae; Streptophyta; Magnoliopsida; Brassicales; Brassicaceae
Description: long non-coding RNA (ALYR_LNC001141)
Source: RNAcentral
ACGCAGACCUGUCUCUCAAAACGCUGGACUUCCGUCGCGUUUCUGCCGUAACGCUUGUUUCUUCUCUCUUCGUGAAUCUCCCGACCCGAAGAAGUCUCCACUGUUCGAACUCAAGUCACCAAAUCGGAGCCAAAACGCGGUUUUCGUCAAUAUACCGGCGAGAACCGCUUCGAUACUUCUAGAAGCUGCGGUUAGGAUACAGAAACAGAGUUCAGAAGUGUCUAAAACAAGAACACGAAACGCCGGAAACGCGUUUGGUAUAUUCGGGUCAGUUUUAAAGAAGCUAACGAACCGGAAGAAACGCGAAAUCAGCGGCGGUAAAGACGUUGGUCGCGUUUCAUCUUCCUCGGUGAAAGAUAUGUUGAGAUGGGAAUCUCCGGUCGUACGUAAAAUAGUCACAAGAAAAUCUAAACGCAAAGCAGAAGAAGAAAACGCUUCCUCCCAAACGCAUAAAAUCGCGUCUGAAACGCAGUUCUCACGGAGGUCAAGUAGUAGUGGCGUUUGGUCAGAGAAUGUCACCAACGGAGAGAGAUCUUGGGACGUUGAUUUCGAAACGUCCAUUAGCACGAGCAGCCGAUCUAACGGUUCAGAUGAGUUUGCGAUGAUGAUGAACGGUCAAGAUUUAUCCGAAGAUAAACGUUUUUGUGAAAGCCCGUUUCAUUUUGUUCUCCAAACAACAAUGCCUUCUAACGGCGGUUUCAGAACGCCGAAUUUCUCAUCACCUGCGGCUUCUCCACGCUACGAUUGUCAAGAGGUUGGUCUUUUUCUACAAUUAAUUAUUUAAUAAUGAUUACAUUAUUGAUCAUAUUCGUUAGUUAGACCUUAGAAGAAAUUGGAAAAAAAGUUGAUGUACAAUAAUUUACUAAACAUUAAUAUUUUACUUAGAUUUGAAAAGACAAAACUAUAGCUGUGUUUCCAAAAAAAGGUAACAGAAGUUAAAUUAAUGACUUGUUUGACUCGUCUGAAUUAGUGACAAAGUAAGAAUGAUCAUAGUCAAUGGCAAAAGUACCCCGCAAACUCAUCGUUUGGUUGUUUUCGAAGAUGCAAUAACAGUUGAAGACAAAUGUAUUUUCGUCUUUUCGAAAAUUACCUCAGCCUUUUGUGUUGUUGAAAACAAAGUUGAUCUCUGUUUCUGACAUGCAAAUCUUACUCUCAUGUUUUUGUGUUUUUGGUUUUUGUCUACCAAAAUUAUUUAACAUUAGAGUCCAAAAAUCUGUCUCUGUCUGUGUAUUUCCAUCAAUCUACAAAUAACAAGUCAAAUUAGCAUCUAAACUUGAAGUAAAUUAUUCAUUCUAAAGUACUUAAUUUUGUAUAAAACAGAUGAAGGACAGUUAUGAGGUAGAGAAGCUAAAGAAACUUGAAAUGGAGGAAGAGGAAGAAGAAAAAGAACAGAGCAGCCCAGUUUCAGUUUUGGACCCUCCAUUUCAGGACGAUGACGAAGACAUUCACAUGGAUGACAAUAACAUCCCUUCCAGCUUCAGAUCUGUACAAAGUACGUUUUCGAACUACUCUUUUGUCUCUAAAUUUUCCAAGCUUUUUUUUCAUUUAAUUCCAUCUUACCAAACUAUUGAUUCCUCUUUAAAUGGUUAUAGAACUGUUGUACGGAUGAUCUGUUUUUGAAACAGAACAGUAGCACGUUCGUGC